This 468-nucleotide ribosomal RNA is filed under the name uncultured bacterium. Its description in RNAcentral is "partial 16S ribosomal RNA". It matches the Rfam family "Bacterial small subunit ribosomal RNA", at positions 28 to 507 of the family's 1533-position model. The record is from RNAcentral.
GACGAACGCUGGCGGCGUGCUUAACACAUGCAAGUCGAACGGAAAGUCCCUGCUCUUGUGGGGUGCUCGUUUGGCGAACGGGUGAGUAACACGCGAGUAACCUGCCCCUGACAUUGGGAUAACUUCUGGAAACUGGGGCUAUUAUCGGAUAUGAGCUCCUGCUGCAUGGUGGGGGUUGGAAAGUUUCGGCGGUUGGGGAUGGACUCGCGGCUUAUCAGCUUGUUGGUGGGGUUGUGGCUGACCAAGGCUUUGACGGGUAGCCGGCCUGAGAGGGUGACCGGCCACAUGGGGACUGAGAUACGGCGCAGAAUGCUACGGGAGGCAGCAGUGGGGAAUAUUGCACAAUGGGCGGAAGCCUGAUGCAGCAACGCCGCGUGCGGGAUGACGGCCUUCGGGUUGUAAACCGCUUUCGCCUGUGACGAAGCGUGAGUGACGGUAAUGGGUAAAGAAGCACCGGCUAACUACGUG